This 398-nucleotide ribosomal RNA is filed under the name Sandsitermes robustus. RNAcentral describes it as "partial small subunit ribosomal RNA". Lineage: Eukaryota; Metazoa; Arthropoda; Insecta; Blattodea; Termitidae. The record is from RNAcentral.
CCCUAUUAUUUUAGAAUGUUAAAGUUUGUGCCUGAGUAGUAUUAGUUAUGUUCUUGAAACUUAAAGAAUUUGGCGGUAUCUCAUUCCGUUCAGAGGAAUCUGUCUCGUUAUCGAUAGUCCACGUUGGACCUUACUUAGUUGAAAUUUGGUUUGUAUACCGCCGUUUAUUGAUUAUCUUUUUAGAGUUUGUGUUAAUUUUCUAGUUUCUUUAUUUAGAUGUAUUUCAGGUCAAGGUGCAGCUUGUUUCUAAGUGGAAAUGAUGGAUUACAUUGUUAUUUGUGUUUGUGGAUUGUUAAUUUUAAUAUUGGCAUGAAAUUGGAUUUGGUUGUAAUAAUUUGAAGACUGUUAUUAUGAUAAUUGGUUCUGAGAUAUGCACACAUCGCCCGUCGCUCUCGUUU